UUUUUUUUUUUUUUUUUGUCAAAACCCUCACAUAUCUUUCUUGUUCGUCCUAUUUUCUUAGUCAAGGAUGUGACAGUAGCCAUAGCUACUUUCAGUCGCCAAUCGCCAUGUUGAUACUGUUGCCGUCGGCUGCCACCGUUUUCCGUCACAAUAUCUUACCAAAAUUUAGCUCUCCGCUCAAUUUUUUUUUUUUUUUUGGGCGUAGAAUCUAAUUUUUGAUAUUAAUCUUUACCAAAAAAAAAAGAACAAAAGUGGAUGAAAAAAAUCUGUCACAACUAAUGUCAAAAAACACCCCAAUAUUUUUUUCUAUUAGCUAUAUGAUUUUAAAAUACACAGUACUAAUAUCGGGAUCAGAUUCUACUUGCUAGUAUUUUUUUCCAUUUUCACCCAUAUUUUUUAUUCAAAAAAAUUAAUAUAGAAAUCAGAUUCUAGGCAAGAAAAAUUGAAUAAGGAGUUAAAUUUUGGUGAAAUUUUAUGAUUGAAAGUAGUGGCAGUUGACGAUGACACCACCAUUACGGCAGCCAAAGGCAGUCAUGGUUGUUGCCACGUUUUCGACUAGGAAAUUAAGACGAAGAAGAAAGAAAUAUGAAGGACUUUUUUUUUUCUUUUUUCCUGUGAUCUUUUAAUAUCAUUCCAAAAGUUUGUGAGGCAUGAAUUGCACGUGACUUUUUCUGUCAAGAAUAUUAGUAGAUUGAGUCGAGAGAUAAAAAAUAUGUAUUUUCUUAUCUGUAAGAGACGAAAAAUCAUCAUUUCAUGUAUGAAAAAUAUGAACGGUGCACAACUAUAAUGUAAUAUACGAAGGACUAUUUGAUGAUUUUCUCACUAAAUAACCCAUAUUUUCUAGGGCAAUAUGUGAGGGUUGCACUCACAUUUUAUUUAAAUUCCACCGUUUCCCUACCUUGUAGAAUAAUACUCAAAUAUAUAGUUGGAUUCAGUUCUUGCCCGACCCUAACUUCCGUCCAUGUUGAAGCAUUCUAUGUGACGUGUAUAUAAGUGUUAGACUCUUUGCUUUGGGUUAAUAGAAUUAUUGUACCAUUCUUUGGGUCCGGAAUAGUUUAUCAUUCCCUUUUUAUCUAAUUAGAAGAAAAAUGAUCUAGUCCACAUAAAAAUAUGCGGCCACAAUGAAAUGAAAGUUAUAUUUCGCUUUGUAUUGAGUCAUUCCAGAUCAAAAUAUACAAGUCCUUUUGUAUUCGUCCCAUUAUAGUACACGAUCAAUACGGAGGCAGUUUCAUUAUAAAAUUCAGACAUUUAUUACUUACUUCCGAAUUGAGGAUACUUUUACGUUUUUAUGGAUAAAAUUCAACCGAACCAGGGUAUUUCCUAAAAGAGGAAAAAACUUUUAUGUGGUUCCCGGAUCGAAUACUGAUGGAGACACGAAACAAAAGUUUUACAAUGUUAAAUUACUCCAAUAAACGCGGCCUUGAAGGUUAUCCGAAAGCAAAGUCGGAUAAGGGAGAUGAGGUCCCAGAUUGAAGAGAAUUGGAUGAACGGUAGUGGAAGUUGAUAUUUUAAUGUGCGAGUUAAUUUUUAUGGUUAAGGAAAAAAAAGCUCUCAGUUACCGAAAUCUGCAGGAAGCUGUUUCCUUUUCCUUGGAGCAGUCCGGCCCAAGCAUCAAUGUCAAGGAAACAAACAAAACAGUCGGUCGCAAUUUUGUGAUGCAACUGUUGAGCAAAUUCAAUUGUUGGCAACCGUACUAAUUGCCAAUUGGCAAAUCAAAACAAGUUGUUCACGGCGCCGUAAUCACAUUCAGGAUAUGACAAGUACGUUUCCACUCAUAAAUGUCUAGCCACUAUAUGCACAGCAGUGUUAUUAGGGAUGAAAGUUAGGUUUGAACCGAAAUUAAUUUCACGGUUUGUUGAAUCCGAAUCAGAAUAGAUUUUUAAUCACUAAGAGCUACAAGUUCAAGUGAUCAAAAUUUUGAAUUGAAAGUGAAAUCGGCAAUUUACCGUCAUUUCAAAUCGUCUAAAACAAUAUUUGUUAUUUAAAUCUAUUUGGUCAAUUUAGAGUUGAAUAUCAAUAGUCAGCAUAUAAUACCAACAACCAAAAUCCAACUUCAACAGCCUAUUAUUCAAUUUCAUUAGUAGGAUUAUACCCGAUGACUAAUCCAAUUUCAAGACUAUUCUAAUCUAAUCAAUAAUGAGAUUUUUUCAUAAAAUUUGUAGCAUUUUUCGUUUUCCUUGCACAUGAUAAUACAAUAAAAUUUUUUGUAGAUUUUCUAUUUAUCUUAAUUCCUAAAAUGUAAUGAGUUGAUUUCAAAAUCUUGACUGUAAGCUAUAUUCUCAUCAUUUCAAAUUUUAAAUUAUUUUUAAACUCUCAAUUCCUUUUUCAUAGAUUUUCUAUUUAUUUUGAUUCCCAAAAUUUAAUGAGUCGCUUUCAAAAUCUAGAUUGUAGACUAUAUUCUCAUUAUUUCAAAACUUAAAUUAUUUCCAAACUUUCAAUUCCUUUUUUUUAAAUUGUCUAUUUAUUUUAAUUCCUAAAAUGUAAUGAAUUGAUUUCAAAAUCUUGAUUGUAGACUAUAUUCUCAUUGUUUCAAAAUUUAAAUCCUUCCCAAUCUCUCAAUUCCUUUUUUGUAGAUUUUUUAUUUAUUUUAGUUCCUAAAAUGUUCAAAAUCUUGAUUGUAGACUAUAUUCUCAUCAUUUCUAAAUUUAAAUUAUUUCAAAUCUUAACACCUUGAUGAUACACAUGACUUCAACAUUUGAGAUAACAAAAGGAGUUUUCUGAUCCACAUAUAUUUUUGGUUAUGUAUUAGACUAAUCUAAAUUACUAUUGUGAGUUCUUUUUUCUUUAUCUCCAAGAUCUACUUUGGUUUCUAUAUUUAUUAUUUGUGUUUUCCAAUUAUGAGAUUAUUUAGACAAAUGCUAGAUUUUACAUAUUACAUUUCUAUUUCUAUACAUUUUAGACUAAUAGAGAUCUCGAGUUAGAGACCUCCCAUUUAUGCUGAAAGAAAAGUACAUGAAAUAAUAAUAAUUAAAAAUGAAACAACAAUUUAAACUAUUACGAUUGAAAGAAACUUAUCCAAUUAUCAGGUUAACAAUGAAUAAUAAAUUUAGUAAAUGAAACAACAAUUAUACAUUUUUUUUUAUUUUGCUAUGGGACGGAACAUAUGCAAUUCCCAUUCAAAAUAAAAAUAUAAAAAUGUAGUCAACCAAUGGUCUAAAUUAAUUCGAUUACACAAAAAAUAGAUUGAACCUUUUACCAUUUUUAUCUAAAAAGGUUAUUUGUGAUGGAGAAUAGUAAACAACAAAAAAGAGUUUUUCACUAAAAAAAGGACAUAAUUCUUGUUUGUAUGUCAAGUGAAAUACCAAUACAAGAUUAUAAAUAGUAUUUUUUUUCUUAAGAAUUUGUGGCAAUCUUAAAGUUUACAUAUGUAAUUAGUUUUGAUAAAUUUAGGGGAUGGAAAGGGUAUAGGAAGGGGUAGGGAGAAUGAAAAAGAAUUUGUGAUAAAUUUAAUUUUUAUACAUUAUAGUGCAUUGAUGUCGCAUAUUUUUUUUAAUGAAAAUUAAAAUAUGAAAGCAAUUUUAUCGAUUUUUCUAUGUACUGUGCUUGCUUUUAUUUGGCAUACUCUGUAUAUAUCUUGAUUAAGAAGUUUACUCACCCAUAUUCACCAAUGUUCUAUUACUUAAGUUGCGUAUAUUUAAAGCAUUACAUUAUUGGUUUACAAAUAUGAGACCAUGUUGAAAAUUGUACAUGGUUAAAUGGAAGAGAAAAAAAAAACAUAACAGGAGAAUGCAACAAGCUGCAAUAUUGUACUAACAUUGUGAUUACCCUUUGAAGAAAUAAAGCUAAAAGAAGCUCAAUUUUUUUUUUUGCUUUUAUAUGGUUUAAUGCCGCUCCCCAUUUGUCAACAAAUAUAUGUUUUAACCUUUGGUUAUGGUUGAAUUUCCUAUUUAGCCUUUGGUUGUUGGUGCAGACGUUGAUAAAUUGUCUAAAUCAGCCAAAUAAGGGCAAAACUAUCCACGCAAAUAUUGGUGAAGGACGAUUUCUGUUUAAGUAAAAUGGUUGAUGGACUACAUUGACUCAUAAUAAAGUGUAUGGACUAUUUCAACUUUGUUAAAAUAGUUAGGCGAAUAAAGUGGUUCGCACUAAUAUAAAAAAAUUGGAUCAUAAUAAAGUUUAUAAACUAUAAAAAAAAAUAGUUUAGGAAUUAAAUUGGUGCUUUGCUCUUAUCAUUUCAAUCUUAUAGUUUACAUUUCGAAUUGAUUUUUUCGAUAGCAUGAAGCUCAUCGGACUUGGAAACCAAGAUGCAAUGCGAAAUCUCACACACGGUUAGUGAGUUUUACUAUUCUGAUUUUUUGAAUUCCAUUCCAAACCAAACACUACGUAAUUGUUACUAUUGAAAUCCAUCACUUUCCAUGUCGGCAACGUCAGCACUAUUACGCCUCCAGUAUUCUACUCGAUAAAUACCGUCUAACACGUAGUGCUCUAAGUUUAACACGAAAGAUAUCCAUCUUAUUUACUACUACUUCCCCCAAAAAAAAAAAAAAAAGAAAAGGAAAAAGACCGUCUCAUCCUUCCGGUCCCACAGCCACACAGAAUCACGUUUUAAACACAAAUUUCACGUUCUUAUCAGUUAUCACGCCUAUUAUAAAUCAUGACGACCCCCCUCCCUUUGUAGCGCACCCUUUCAAGCUACAUUCCCAACUCCCCACCACCUCCACUCCCUUUCUCUUCUUUACUUCUCUGUCUCUGUCUCUCCCUCUCCCUCCCCCCCCCCCUUCUUUCCAAUAUACGGGGAACUUUGCAUUUCGAUUUUUAGUGUCCACUUGAUUGCACAUGGUAGGCUUUUAUUGUCCCUGGAAGCAACUUGGAAGAUAAUGAAUAAUAGUCCGAAAGAUUGGCCCGAACCAAUAGUUCGCGUCCAAUCUUUAUCUGAAAGUGGCUUGCCAGUAAUUCCAGAUAGAUACAUCAAGCCCCCUGACCAAAGGCCCUCCUUCAGCCCCGCAACUCAAGCAUCCCAUGUUAACAUUCCAUUGAUUGAUCUGGGAGACUUGAAUGGUGACCAUGAAAAGCGUACAGCCAUAACUGAACAAAUUUUCCAGGCGAGCACGGAGUGGGGAUUUUUCCAAGUGGUGAACCAUGGGGUGUGCCCUCAGCUCAUGGACCGUGCCAGACAAGCCUGGUAUGGUUUCUUCCACCAGCCCAUGGAAGUGAAGCAAGCUUAUGCCAAUUCCCCCAAGACCUACGAAGGGUACGGUAGCCGACUGGGGCUCGAAAAAGGCGCCAUUCUUGACUGGGGUGACUAUUACUAUCUUCAUUAUCUCCCUUCCUCCUUGAAGGAUCAAAACAAGUGGCCUGCACUUCCCUCCGAUCUCAGGUACCCUACGACCCUUAGCAGCUAUAUAUAUGCUAUCCAUCAUCCAUGUAUUAAUUCCUUGAUGCCUGGCUAUAAGGAUAUGUAUAUAUAUAUAUAUAUAUAUAUAUAUAUAUAUAGCUGGUCCACUGCUUGAGGCCCUUUGUUUUAAUUGUCGAUUGGGGAAUAUACGGAUAAUCUUCUAACCGUUUCCAUGUGUGGCUUUACAUCAUGGUACGUAAGGGACGACUGUGCACGUACUUGGGACGAUUUUAUUACUGUUAGUUGUCCUGUUUGGUAUGCAACUUUGAACGCUAGACUAGGUGCUUCUUUUGAGGGUGGCCAAACGUCGCCGGCGGCUAAUUACUCUUCUAUCAUUUGUGGUAACAAGAGAAGUAGAGCUGAGUUGGCUGCUUUUCAAUAUCCAAGUGAUCCAUCCCUCCGCGUGGACGAGCGGGAGGCGGGCGUAUAUAUAUUUUAUAUAUGUGUAAAAGGAUACGCCACCCGACAGCUUCUCAUAAAUUCUUUGCAUUUGGAUCUAUCCUUGGCGAAAAUGGAGAGGGCUGUCAUAACUUUCUGUACUUGAUAACCAAUGAAAUUUGCACAACUAAGCAACAUUAGUAGGACUCCACUAAAUUGAUGUAUAUUUCGCAAUACUGACUCGUCCACAUAUCUUUACGUUUCAAACAAAAAGUUCUUGGGUGAGAGUGGUUUGUUAAUUAAUUCGGUUGAUUUUGCUGGAUGUGGAACUAGGGCAGUGAUUGAUGAAUAUUCAGCUCAAGUGGUCAAGUUUUGCGGGGCGCUGAUGAAGAUUCUAUCCCAAAACCUGGGAUUGGGAGACGAAGCUCUACAAGAUGCGUUCGGAGGAGAAAACAUCGGAGCGUGUCUAAGAGUGAAUUUCUACCCCAAGUGCCCGCAACCGGAGUUGACCCUUGGUCUCUCCUCUCACUCAGACCCUGGUGGCUUGACCGUGCUCUUGGCAGAUGAGAAUGUGGCCGGUCUUCAAGUCCGCAAGAAUGACAUGUGGACAACUGUUAAACCAGCUCCGCAUGCUUUCAUAGUCAAUAUCGGAGAUCAAAUUCAGGUACCAACUAUAUGUGUACUUGCUAUACGUUAUUACCUGUCAUGCCCAUCUUUCAUAGCAGGGGCUUCUUUUUUUAAAAAAAAAAUUUUUAAAAAUAAUAUAUAGGUCUAUUUGCCCACUUAUCAAUAUAUAUAAUCAAGUUUUAAAACUUCUAACCCUAUCUCAUUCAUUCAGAUACCACACUAGAUAUUUCUAGUUUUAUAUAUGUAUUUUUAUCAUUCAUUCCUCUUCACGUCUUUCUCACCUCCAACUGUUAGAUAUAAAAUUCAAAUCUCAUCACUAGAUCGAUGAUGACCCCAGUGACUUCUAGAACUAUGCUUGAUAAAAGCUACGUCAACAAAUCAAAAAUCUUUAUCCGCCGAUUUUCCCGUAACAAAGGCACAUGGAGGGGUCCUAGUUUUUAUGGUCUGAUGAGUGGUUUUUUUUUUUUUUGUUUUUAAAUGGAAUACGGACAUUCAUUUAUGAUUCUUUGUUUUUUAGACUUUUGUUUCAAGCCUGAAAAGAAAAUAGAACCAGGUCAAGACAGAUUUUAAACGUGCCUAAAUGAUUUUAUAAGACGUCAGAUAUGACGAACGUGGGUCCUGGUCGAGGGUCGGUGGAACGAGCUGGCGUUAAGAUUUGGGAGCUUACUGCUUUUUAUAUAUAUUUAUAUUUAUAUUAUGCGACUCCAUUCAGUUAAUUUGGAUUUUGGACUCCUAACUGGAAUUACCUGCGCGACGCGUGUAGAGAUUUCCUGAUUUCCUCUUCUACUGCUUGGAAAUUUCAAUUUGCUGCAAUUCUCUACAAGUAACUUUUCGUAGAAUUUUUUUUUUUUUCAUUCUAAAAGGAGAAAAUUGCUUGAGAUUUUUAUUUCCAUUUGGUAUUAUCGUAUACAAGCAGAAAAUCAUUCACAUACAUAAAUUAGGAAAACAAUUAUAAUGGGACCUAUAAACAUGAAGAUAAGAUUCAAGCCACAUUAUAACAUAUUCAAAAUUGCUUUUUGUUUUGCAGUCUUAAUUCAAACAGAUGCACUUAAUUUCUCUAUGCUUACGCAUACUUAACAACAAAUAUGAACCGUUACCCUACAAAACUACCCAACUUCAUCAUGAGACAUUUCAUGUAGGACCGGAUAAGUUCUUUUCCUUUCCUGAAAUAUCCUAAUUUGCUUUAGAAAGGAAAAGGUUUGACAUGUCAAACGUUGGAGUAAAAGCCUCUUUUAGACUUUUCAAUUAGAUUUUGCUUUGGAGAAAGAAACAAAAUAUCUACCCGAUACUACUAAACUAGUAGUAUGACGUAACACUUUGUUGUCUAUAUUUCAUACAUACACGCGACGGAGUCCAUGUACAUGCUCAUGCUGCUCUAUGCUGGUUUUCUGAGUUUCUAUAAAGUUUUUUUGUUCCAUUUUCUCUUUUCAAUAUUUUGUUCAUUUUUUUCAGGAUUAUAUUUCCAAAAUCUUGCUUUUCCUCUCUCUCUCUCUCUCUCCCUUUUCUGCUGGUUAAUUUUAAAUGAUCGUGAAUUCGUGAUUCUGUACAGGAGUACUAUUAGAUUUGGCCGUUCACAUUAUUAAAACUAGUGUUCAAGGUACGCAUGAAUAUAUAUGCAACUAAUAAAAGAAAUUUGUGCCAAAAUCUUUGACUAUAUUUGAAAUCAUUUUCACGAGAAUUAGUUUUAUAUUGUAAUAGUAAAUAUGUAAAAAUUCACUAAAAUAAAAUAUAUAAACAAAUAUUUUUUUUAGUAGUAAUUCAUAACUAUGCUAAUAAAAAUUAAGAUUUACUAAAGAGUUGAAAAACCACAUGAUAAGAAAUACAUAUUAGUUAGAAGAAGGAUAUAUUAGAAGUUAGAAGUGGACAGUUAUCAAGGUAGUAUAGCAAAAACAUAUAGUGACACAAAAAAUUUUACACCAAUCUUUCUCUCACCCUUUACUUUAUAUAUAGUGUAGAUGUUAAAACUAGUUAAUUAUUUUCAAGUGCACUUGAUUAGCUGUAAACAGUAAACUGUACAUAAGAAACUUAUGCAACGUGCGCCGGAACAGUGCCUGCUUGAAGAGUAUAAGCAUCAACCGUCCUGUAGUCCAAAAUCUAAAUGUAGGUUAAGAAAUUGGCUAAGUCUACCUAAGGAGUUAUUGAAAUCGAACUCCUGGGGCAAUUCACUAUUCUUUGUUGAUGGCUCUUUUCCUUAUUCCUCUCUUUAAUUUGGUAAGAAGGCAGCGGAGACUCAGGAAGGCAGAGAAGGGAUGAAACACCAACAAUUGCAUUCUUUUUCUGGUUCAAAGAAUGAACAAAGACUUUCGUCUUCUGGUUCAAGGAAGGCUCGAAACUUUGUAAGAGGAAAGAGGAAAGAAAGGGUUUGAGAGUCGAUCAAGAAUUUCAUAGCCACCUCACUAACUUCUCUACCGUAGAAACUAGCAAAAACCCUUCGGUUACUGAGUUAUAUAGUCUAUUCUCGAUGAUCACUCAUUUGAUAAUGUCUUAGAUUUGCAAAGACUUGCUUAAUUUAUUGUUACUACUAUUUCUUCAUCACUUAACGAUGUAGCAAGUACAACGCCAUGCAGGUGCUAAGCAACGCCAAGUACAAGAGCGUAGAGCAUAGAGUGAUUGUGAAUUCGGACAGAGAGCGCAUCUCGCUUGCCUUCUUCUAUAACCCAAAGAGCGAUUUGCUGAUAGAACCGGCGAAGGAGCUUGUGACGCCAGAGACUCCAGCAUUGUACCCAGCCAUGACCUUCGACCAGUACAGACUAUACAUUAGGACAAGGGGUCCUCGGGGCAAAUCACAGUUAGGGGAGUCUCAGAGUUCACCAAGAUAGCACCACCUAUUAUCCCUACUAAAUUACUAAUCAAUUAUUGCCAAAAUCAAUGUACUUUAAUUUGUAAAUCCAUUGAUAUUGAUGUAAACGCAAUGGUUUACUUGUAUAUUGAUCUUGUAAUCAGGAGGUUGGAUUAUUGGAUUUAGAUUCCCAUAUAAAAAGGAGCAAAUCCGAGAGGUGCUGUAUAGUUUAAUGCUCCUUUUAUCUGUUGUUGGAUGCGGUCCAAUGUAUCCGUGAAUUCUAUUGAUAAUUGCAUGUGUACUUGUUAUCAUUAUAGUAUGUGGUUAGAUAAGCGAAUGUUUCCCUUUACAGCGUUGAUUAAGGAAAUAAAUUGCCCGUAGUUGAAGAAUCGUGACACGUUUAAUAAUUCAGCACGAACCUAAAUGUUUAUUUUAGUGUUAGGUUCGUUUAACAAUUCUACGAUUCUGCCUAAAUGUUUAUUUUAGUGUUAGGUUUGUGCUUAAUUGUUAAACGUGUCACGAUUCUUCAACUACGGGCAAUUUAUUUCCUUAAUCAACGCUGUAAAGGGAAAACAUUCGCUUAUCUAACCACAUACUGUAAUGAUAACAAGUACACAUGCAAUUAUAAAUAGAAUAAUCUUUUCGUACGGUGCCGCCGCCACAUCAUUAUUGCCAACUCUAUUUUGCAAAUUUUCGAACUGGCGGAAUUGAAAGGUUGCAGUCCCACUGAACAAUUUUAAUGUUCAGCCCUGUCUGAUCAAUCAUUCGUCCAAGUCCUACCAUAUAACAAUGAGAAUAAUGGAGCUCUCCGUGUUAGCAAAGUUAGCGUAAUAAACUUGGAUUAAUCUUUCAGACACUCACUCAUAGUGUAUACACUUUUAACAGAGGAUGUAUGACACAUAAUUCGAAUUUGAAUUUAAAAUCCAAAUUUUACAGAUGUGUCGUGUAUCUAACCAUGAUAACGUAUAUAUAAUAUUUAUUCAAUAAACUUUAAAAAAAUUGUUGGCCAGUUUGAAGUUAAAAAUUGAUAUAGAUUUGUAGAAGGAGAGAAAAGGGAAGAUACAUUUCCUUUAUAAUCUAGUAGGAGUGCGUGAGGGUAAAUUAUUACUAAAAGAUACACUACUAUGUGUAUAUAUAUAAUGAGUAAUCCUAUUUCCUUAAAGCUUAUGUUGACAAUACUUCAUCAACAAUUUGCGCUGCUGAUGUCUUCCUCUGUGAUUGUGUCCUUUUUCUUUUCUUUUUAUUUUUUUCUAACUAUCAAAUAAUAGAUACUACAUAACAAUCAUAAAAUGUCUCAGUAAUUAGUUGAAGUCAGCAGUUUCAACCGCUAACGAUUUUUUAAGCAUAUUAUCAAGAAAAAGAAAAAAACCACAUGCAUAUUGGACAUCAGCAUUUUGUCACUAUUUUAUUUCUAUUUCGUACAAAAGUUGCUGCUUGCUUCCUUUUUUUUUUUUGGGUUCAGGAAUUGUAGUCAGAGAAUGCGCAUACAUAAUUAAUCAUUCAGGUGUCGCUAUACCUAUUCCUAGAUUCUCUUUACAAUUUUUUUAGAGUAUCCAAAGCUAGCCUGUCCAAGUCAAGUUUUAGUUUUGUUCAACAAAAGUACAACGCUUUGAGAUUUUUUUACUGUACCUAUUCCUAGAUUCUCAUUAUUUUUGUUGUCUCUGGAUUAUGGUAUUCUUGAGUCAUUUGUUUGUUGAGGUGGCAACACGUGUCAAUACCCAUCCUGAGCUUGAAGCCUGAUUUUUUUUUUUAAAAUUGUAUUAGGUAAAGGCUUGGUGAAUAAAAUCAAUGAAGAUCUUGUGAUAUGGCUUGGAAGUGACUGAUGAUAAUGUGUCACGGUUAAUUAUUUAGCGCAAGUGGCAAUCUCGGACCGGAUGAUCCGUCAACCAAUCAACCACGGGAGAAGGAAAUAGUAGUAGCACACCAGAACUGACGCAGGACACACAAAAAAUUAUCCUGCCCAAAAGGAAAAAUAAAAUAAAAAAUCAGUUGCUCUUUUUAUUUAUUUGUUUAUUUAUUUAUUUUUGCGUAAGUGAAAGAUCUCAAAUUCGGAACCUCUCACCUACAUUCUUCCCUCCUGUAUCACCCAACCCAUCUCUUUCCGCUCCUUAGGUGAGGUUAUUCAUACACUUCAAUUCUUCAUAGUUCAUAUUUGUUUCACGACGCAUAAUAGUAAUUUACGGACGCGCAGCAUACUAUAAAGUGAAAAUAAGCAUGAAUUGCACAUACAAUCUUUCAGAGUUUAUUUACCAAAAAAAUCAGUAGGAAAGUGGUGCUGAGCUUAGAAUAAAAUAGGUUACAAUUACAUAUACAUAUAUAGGUGCCAGAGGUUGUAAUCUAUAAAAUAUAUAGAUUCACAAAAUCGGAAGCCCUUAAAUACAAAAAAAAAAUAUUAGUGGAGUAAGAAAUGAUCAAGAACCGAGCAAGGCAAAUGGGGCCUCUCCUCUCCACAUCCAAGCUCCAGGAGCGAGAACAUGAACAGCUUAAAUAGUACUAAUGGCUAAUAUUGCUCAAAUGCCCAUAGCCACUAGAAUUUACAAGGCCGUCCACCAAACCUGUACACUAACACGAAGGAUAGAGACCCGACCCUACAAACUGCUGUAAGCCAGGAAAGUGGGGAAGGGGAGGGUGGAUUGGAUGGUAAGGGAAAAGGAAUUGUGGUUAGGAGAUUUUAAGUUAAAGAUCUCAUACUUGCCAAAAAAAAAAAAAAAGCCAGGAAAGUGCAGUCAAUACAUAAUAAACAGAUACCACCAGAAGAGGAACUUUCCCUAUUUGGCCUACAUCUGAUGCCAAAUUUUACUCUCACAAACACCAGUAGUCGAUUCACUACUGUCUUCUUGUCACGAAAACAGUACAAGGAACAGAAUCAAAAUGUUUUACUGAAACCCUAAUUGAAAUACCGAUGCAAGAUUAUGAUAAUUUUUUAAUGACAUUAAAUUGGUUUUAGGUUCCGACUGAACCUAGUUCAAUCAAGGUUUAACCACUAAUUUAACUAUUACAAAUGCACCGACAUUAAAGGGAUCUUGCAAAAGGGGCUAUAUAUUUCCUUCUGAAGUUUGAAACAUGAGACACGGGGCAUCUUAGACAUUCCCUAGCGUGUAAGGAACUAAUGCAGUAAUCUGACAUUUCCGAUUUAACCAUUACAUCAAAGGUUAGGUCACCAACAGAACAUCAAUUAAAUAAACCAACAGAACAGCUCCUUUUGCAAUAUUCUCUUCAGUUCAAAGAUCAACAAAAAAGACAACCAAACUACUUUGACAAGCAUUGAAGAAGACCUUAACUUCAUCCGCCUUCAGCCUUGAACUUCCCAGUCUAGGUUGGACAAAAAGGAAUACCAGACCAAUCAAAUAUGAACGGAUCUGCCGCAGAUUUUCAUGGGAUAGGUAGAAAUACAUUGGCAUGGUAGAAAGUACUUAUGUAAUCUGAAAUCUAUGUUAACUUACUUCUAUCUCUUUAGAUGCAAUACACUGCUUAUGCAUAAUACUAACAGAAACAAAUAUGGACGUUGAUCCUUAAUUACUAACUGAAAAUAUCUCAUUCACAAAGAAGAAACAUAAGCGCUAACCACAAGUUUCUUCUGAUACUUUUAAAGAGUCAGCAGCUUAAAAGCAUUUAGAUGCUGCAUCAACUUCUAAGUCAUAUCAACAGCAUCCAGUGCUUCUUCACUGCCGCUCUAGUAACUGGUCCACAUCCCAACUGCAUGUAAUCGUUGCCUAUCACCUGAAAAGAGGGAAAAAAUGGAAGUUACAUUGUUUUACAUAUUCAAGAUAUCCAUCUUGCUACCAACAAACACAAUUCACACACAUCAACUAGAACAGAUUUCUCAUGAAAGGACGUACCAACCAACAGUUUUUUUUAUUGUAAUAAGAAUGCCAUUGAUUAAGUUAUAUAACAUCAUGCAUUCAUUAAGUUAUACAACAUCUAAGAAUGUACAGAUGAACUAGAAAUUGCAAUUACAAGAUAGCAUUUUUGAAGCCUUUAAAGGAGCAUGUGUUAGAUUAUAUGGUAUAGGGAAUCACGACGGAAAUAACAAUAUAUACAUAAUGACAAAAAAUGCGAAGAUAAAUAGGAUUGGAGCAAGAACAGCAACAAUAUAGAAACACAAUCCCAACAGUAAAAAGCUAAUAUUUCAUAACAUGCUCACCUAAGCAUCAAGUUGCAUCCUCCUAAAGCAUUUUCAUCUAGUUGCUAUGGCCUACCCUUUUUGGUGCUGCAAGAAGGGCACUUAUACUGCUUUAUAUGUUCUGCUUUAGCAGGUGUAAUCUUUACACAUUUCCCAUGGAACCACCUCUCGCAGAUGUCACAGCAAAUCCAGAACUCAUCAGCAUUGUAAUUUCCUCCACAGCUUCCACAAAGAGUUUCACCAUGUUCAUCUUCAUCCUCCUCCACAUAACUUCCAUCCUGUAGCCUUGGAUUUCCUUUUGCAUGCCCAUCACUUGAUCUCUGUAUCAAAGUGUCGGCUACAAGAUUGAAGGGAACAAAGAAAGAAGAGAGAACAAAUAAAAAAGAAGUAAGAUCCUUUCACCUUUGUGCCGCUCCUAGAUUUACUCCCACUAUCAACACCAUGCUUGUCCUUUAACGGCUUCCUCUCUGUUAUGACUUCAAAGACAGUCGGGAGAUCAUUCAUCAAGCUAAAGAGACGCUUCCUGUUGAGCACAAUGAAGCUACUUUUAUUGGUGGUGCUCCAAACGAUAUUGUAUGCCUUUGCUUGUUAAGGAACAAGAAACUAAAAAGUGGCAGCAACACAUUGAAACAUAGAGACAAAUUGACCACGACAUAUUGUAACUGCAAUUUACCAGCAGAAUUUCAAAAGACAUCCAAGCACAGUCAAAAUUAGUUAUUUUGCCCAACAGACCAGCACCGAGAGCUCAGAUUUACCUGUAAGCUCCACCAUUUGAUCCCUAUGUAAUCAUCCAAAAUGGCUCUUUCUUAACAAAAUAAUAACCAAAUUUUAAUCAACAUAUCAGAUAGUCAGUGAACAUAUCAGAUAGUAUUUGGUUGUUACCACGUUUCCCAACCGGAAGUACACCAAAACCGUCAUGAACUUACAUAGGGAAUUUGAUGAAGCGAUUAUAAGGUGAUGUAAGUUAAUUGAUCAAAUUAAACUCUCUCCACUUUACCAACAUGGAAAGGAAAGGAUCAAAAGCACUAAUUAACUAAUCUGCAAUUGUACAAACAUCAGCAGAGCAUUAUUUUCUCCCUCUCAAUUUUAAACUAUUAUAUAUCAUCAUUUUUUGAAAUUUCUGAAACUAAACUGUCAUAUAUCUUCAGUUUCUUGAAAUUUCUGUCAAACUAAACAAACACCUCCGAAUUGGGAGGAGUUGAAUGCUGGGUGUAUACUUUGUGACCAUCUCUUGAUCGAUUCAGUCUCAUGAAGACUAAACUGUCAUAUAUCUUCAAUUUCUUGAAAUUUCUGCCAAACUAAACUCACCCCACCGAGUUGGGAUGGGUUGAAUGCUAACAUCUUAAAAAUGCUUCUAUCAACCAAAAGUACUUUACUAGCAAAAGCAACGCAAUCCCAAAUACAAUCUUAAUCCUCCGCAUAACUGGUAAUCUAUGCAUCUAACAAAAGAUGCUCCUCCCCAACCCCCAACCCAAAAAAAAAAAGGAACUAAAACUUUCUUUUCUACAUACAAAUACAUAAACUAUACAAAUUCUCUUGAAUAAUAGUAAUCACUUCACCAAGGCCACCAAAAAAGAACGUCCAAGUAUCCACAUGCCAAUAGACACACUUCCGGAAUUCUUAUUUCUCAAAUUUGAUCCUCUAACUUUUGCCCAAGUUUACUUUCUCUAUCCUAUCUAUCUUUCAUAGAAAUAUCUCCAGGCCUAACAAAGUGUCUUAAACCAAAAUUAGGUCCAACCAGCCAGUUUGUCAACAAUUAAGUUGUAGAUAGGUACCAAGACCCUUAACCUACUUGAAGGAAGGAAUUUGGAAGCUUUAUACAUCAUAUCAUGUAGGUAACAUGGUAUCUUUUUAUUACGAUAGCACAAGUACCAAACAAUUUCCUAACAAUGCAGACCAGAAAUCUUUAACCUUUCUUAACAUAAUUAAAGGGCGAAACUCAACACACCAAUUUUCAGGUCUCAAACUUUUUAAGACCAGAAAAUUAGCAUCCUUUAUGUGUUUUUACUCGUUUCUUUCACAAAGAAAGUGUGAACUGCAGGUUCAAGCUCACCAAAAGAUGCUACUGGGAGGAUUACUGAGAAAUUUAAAGUACCAAUAUGCGUAAUAUUUGUAUGGACAGAAAUAGAAAUAUUUUGCAAGGACCAAUCUGCAAAUGCAAUUCAUAUCCAUUAUCCGAUCCCCGCCAUCUUCCGUCGCCUAAAUUCUAAGUAGAGCAUUGAGAUCCAUGUUCAAGUCACCUCCAACUAUAAAUUUUGAGCUCUCACGGAAGGCAAAUAGAAGGACGAGCGUUAGAUAUAAUGUGACACACAUCAGGGACUGAAUAGGAGAAGGGGGGAAAAACAGCGUUGAGCAUCAGAACAGGAGCGGCUCCAAGCAUAACUUAGCACUAGCACGAUAGGGAAUGCAAUGUACCAAUACUACCUUUCGUUCCGAUUAAGACGAGCACCAAAGUAGAAAGCAACAGAGAGCAACCAAGUAUCAGUGUGCAUGGCCACCAAAGACAACCAGUCUCUGCGUUGCAUACCAUCCCUGGCGAAAUUGAUCCCUAAUGCCGGCUCGGGCACCUCCGGUGGGACUUCCUCCGCCGGUAAUGCUACCUCCCAGCUGUCGUUGGGGUAUCCAUACAAACAUAAAUUCUCUUUCUCUGAGAAAAGGGCACAAUAAUUUUACAUUUUAGAAACAAAAGUAUAAUUCAUAAUACAAAUAAAAAACCCACAAACACAAUGAAGAAAAUGGUUGCUCACCGGGAUCGCAGUCGGAGUAAAAUUGGUCAACAUCUGCGUGAGGGAAAAAAGGAAGAAGAAAAGAUUAGAAAAAUUAACAAGCCCAACACUCGUAGAACAAUUUCCUGAACAUAUACGGGUAUGAAUGAUAUAUAAAAGAGAUAGUAGUAGAAAGGGACCAGUGGUGAGGGCACGGAUGACGGCGUCACGACGAGCGGAGAAGUCCUUGAAAAUCUCUUCAACAGUUCGGGGAUUGGAAUGGGUGGCAGCCAUUGUUGUGUUCGUAUCUUGUGAGUAGCUUGGCUGAAUUAAAUUGUCUGUCUGAAAAAAGAAAAGAAAUGAGAAAUCAGGGGAUAAGAGAGUAGCAGCAGAGCAGAGCAAUAGUAGUGGGGAGAGAAAGAGCGGCACCGAUUGAGUAAGGGAGUCCAGUCGGGUUGACUUGAAUCCUUUGAGGGUUAGAAUGAUAGGAUCUGAUGUGGGUCACUGGGUCCGGUUUGCUACAGGCUAUAGCUUCUUACGGUACACAAAUGACAAAUGGGGCUGAUGGAUGGAGUAGAAAGGAAAGCUAUGGGGCAAGUUUCGGCGGGUGGGUAGGUAUUGUACAAUACAUACUUUGACUUAGUUUUCGUGUUGUUUUCUGGCGAUAGAGAUGCAUAGACCGUUCAGGAGUACGGUUUACGGAUUCAGGCAGGCAACCAGCAGCACGGAUACAUGGAUGGAUGAAGCCUUUUUCCUCUCUUUUUUUUUUUUUGGGUGCUGGGGGGCUUGGGGAAGAUUUUGGCCGGAGACCGGGGCUUUUUGGCUCGAGUUGGGGAUUUGGGAGAUGUGCCACUGCCGGGAGAGGAGGAGUUCUAUUUUGUCGUUUUCGGUUGCCAAAUUUGUCAAUAUAUCUGAUGUCAGCUAGUGGGGGCUACAGAGACUUCUUACUUGUACUUAGAAAAUCUGUCCUUUUUUUCCCCCUUUUUCCCCCGGUUUCCUUUGUUUCUAGAUUAGACGAUGGUAGAUUAUUAGUUACUAGUAUAAAUGCCCGUGCGACGCACAGUUGAUUAUAUUUUUGAAAAAAAUUACAAUCUAUGGAGGAAUUUAAAAAAAGUAAAAUAUUAUAAUCACGGACACAUGAAAGUAUAUUUAAAAAAAUGAAAAUUUGUAACAAUAGUUCAAUAUAUGAUAAAACAUCUUCAUUAUUUAUAAACUAUCACUUUGAUGAAUGUUGGAUCCUGAAAAAAAAUAGAAGUCUAUAUCGUAAAUUGAGCGACAUAAGGGUCCAAUUAAAUAUAAUUGAAUACUUAAUUUGAUAAGUAAAUGAAAUACUUCCAAACAUUUUGCCUUUGAUUUGAUAAUCUUCUACGAAGGUGUGAACAUUAUUUAUACCAAUCACCUCUGAGUACGAACGCCAGUAUUGGGGGUUUAAUUAAUUAUGUUGAUUUUUGUGAAGUUCGUACUAUAAAUGAGAAUGCACGAUUUUUGCAUGAAUUAAUGUGUUGGUCGAACAAUGCACCUCUAUUUUCCUGACAAUUAAAAGCAUACAUAAUUCAAAAUUAUAUUUUGUUUUAGACAGUUUGUAAAUAAUAUUAUAUAAAAAUAUAUACAUAUAAAUAAUGUAUACCUUUGUUUUUAAAUCUCUAAGAUAAGAAACAUCACAACGAAACAUAAAUCGUGCAUGCUUGUUUUGAAGAGUGAAGUAUAGGUUACCACUGGAAUCUCUAACUUCUAUGUUAACAUUGUAUCUGUUAAAAAAAAAUUGUGAUGUAUCAUGCAAAAAAUUAUAUUAAAAUUCAAAAUAUAUGAAAAUAAUUACCUGACAAUAAUGUCGACUACAUCAUUACAAUGUAUACACACCAUUUUUACAAUAUGAGAUUGACAUGAUUGUCCACAAUUUUUGCAUAACUCAUGGAACAUAUUAUCUAUGUUGAUACUUUGAAUGUAAGCAAGUAUCCGAAAAUAUUUAACCUAAAACGAUCCAACGAAUGUAUAGAUUACAAUUAUUAAUUCGAAACUACAUAUAGAUACUUGUUCAUUACUUAAUUAAUUGAGAGGGAUUGUACCGUAGGUAGAACUGUAUAUUCGAAUAUCGAUAUUCUCUUAGCAUUUAAUAUCAACAAUGCUUGGGACAUUGUAAAAUUGCAUGACCGCAACCACAUCACUAAUUUCUGAGCACAUUUAUCAUUCUCAAACCUGCAAAUUUUUCAAAUACAUAUUCGUAAGGGUAUGAAAUAUUAUUAAUAAUUUAAUAUUUUGAUAUUUGUAAAACUUACCAACUGUGUAGGUAUUGACCGAAAUCCAAGUAGUAAUUGACAUACAAUUUGCUUGCUCGAAUAGUAUUAAGUGACGUUCUUGCACAAUGUGUUAUAUUAUUGAUAAACUAUAAAAAUUAAAUAAAAUAAAGUGAAAAACAAAAUUGAAUUACCUUUAUAAUUUAUCACACAAAUACCAUAGGCUGGCAAAACAUUGUGUUUUGUAACAGUUUGAGGCAAGUGUUCACCAUCAUCAGUUGCAAAUUUAUCACAUAAAGUCAACCGAACUACUGUCAAACUUCAUUUAGAGAAUUUUGGUAAGUAUAAAUCAAAAUUUGCAGAAUAUAAAAUAUUAAUUGACAUACAAUUUGCUUGCUCGAAUAGUAUUAAGUGACGUUCCUGCACAAUGUGUUAUAUUAUUGAUAAACUAUAAAAAUUAAAUUAAAUAAAGUAAAAAAAAAUUGAAUUACCUUUAUAAUUUAUCACACAAAUACCAUAGGCUAGCAAAACAUUGUAUUUUGUAACAGUUUGAGGCAAGUGUUCACCAUCAUCAGUUGCAAAUUUAUCACAUAAAAUCAACCGAACUACUGUCAAACUUCAUUUAGAGAAUUUUGGUAAGUAUAAAUCAAAAUUUGCAGAAUAUAAAAUAUUUUAAAGAUAUUGAAUCUAUUAACUAACCUUUUGUCAAGUAAAAAUAUAUCACACUUAGUUUUAUCAUUGAUAGAUGUUUGAUAGUGUGAACCAACAGAUACAACUAAACCAAUUACAUCUGCAAAAGAUCAAAUAGUAUAAGUAAUACCAGUUCAAAUAUACAACUUAAAUAGAAGUAUGGUUAAUUAAGAAUGAAAUACCUAUCAAUUGCAAAUCAUUGUCCAUGUGUUGUUCUGUAUCUCUUAGUUUGACCAGAUUAAACUUGAAACGGGGUAUGGUUCCACAAUCAUCUAAAAUAUUCACUAUAUUUGUAUCGUUUCCAAAUGAUAAUUGGUACUAAUGUGGUGCAAGCCGAUAUUUAAGAUCUGCCGGAAUUACAUAUAUAUUUUGAAACCAAUAUACCUUACCUUCAUGGAGACGAUUUGCGAAAAUAUUUAUUGUAGUAGGAAGGUGGGUGAGGAGUGUUAGUUGGAGUACGGUAUGUAAGGAGUGUCAGUGGGAGUUAACUUAUUAUCUGAGGAAAACGUGGGAGUGUUAGUUGGAGUUAAUUUCUUGUUUAAGGGAAACGUGGGGGUGUAACGUACCCAUGAUUUUUUUUACGAAAUAAAUUAAAUGCAAAAUGCUAGAAAAAUGAUUAUUGUAGUAGGAAGGUGGGUGAGGAGGGUUAGUUGGAGUAAGGUAUGUAAGGAGUGUUAGUGGGAGUUAACUUCUUGUCUGAGGAAAACGUGGGAGUGUUAGUUGGAGUUAACUUCUUGUUUAAGGGAAACGUGGGGGUGUAACGUACCCAUGAUUUUUUUUACGAAAUAAAUUAAAUGCAAAAUGCUAGAAAAAUAGAGUUGAGAGUGGGAAGGUUUGUAAAUGUUUGUUGCUAAAAAUCCCUUCUCAAAUUUAUAUAGAUAUAGAUUACAUGCUCUGGUUUCCUUAUUACACUAGCACUAGUGGAAAUACCCGUGCUAUACACGGUGCUGACAUUAUUGGAAAAAAAAUAAAAUGGUGAACAAAUAAAGGUGAAAAAAUUUUACCAAUAAAAUUAAAAUAUAAUAUCUGUUUAACAAUAAUUCGAAAUAUAAUAGAAUGUAUAUAUCAUUCAAGAACUGUCUUUUUUCGGUUGUAUGAGAAUUUUUUUUAUCAUUGUAUGAGAAUUGUUAAUAAAAAAAUACAAUAGUUAAUAUAGAAUAGUAUCAAUAGAAUUUAAUACAAUUGUGUUGUAAUCAAAUGAAAAAUACGCACCAAUUGAAUUGUUAUUAGCACCCAUAGUUAAUGAAGUAAUCCCUAUAUAAAAAUAUUUUGGUACAUGUAGUAAUUGGUAAUCUAUAAAAUAAAAUAAAUUGCUAAUCUAUAAAAUUGCUAAGUUGUCUAUAAAUAGCAUCAAUAGAAUGUAAUACAAUUAUAUUGUAAUCGAACAAUUGUAAUAUAAUUGUAUUGUAUUGUAUCUAUAGUUGAUUUAGCAAGAUAGUGCAGCCAAAAAGUGUGUAUGUGAGAUGAGUAUGACGAUAUAAGAAACUGUAUAUUUAUCAUGAUCACGCAAAAUCAUUGGUGAUGUGGAUGUCUGGCGAUCUUGAGGACAGUUAGAUUUUUCAUUUCUUUGAUCUAUAAAUAAAAUAUAUAUUAAAUUAAAAAUCAAUAGUUUAUGUAUUUAUUUUAUGUGUAAAUAGUGAUACAUUGUAUGAGAACUGUUAACCAAAAAAAUACAAUAAUUAAUAUAGAAAUAGCAUCAAUAGAAUUUAAUAGAAUUGCAUUGUAAUCAAAUGAAAACAAUUACAGAGAAGUGGUUACCUGAACUAAGGAAUGCAACUUUAAAUGCUCAAAAGUGCCUUGACGAUUGCACAUAUGUCAGGGGCUUGGUGAGUUUUUUGCUCCUCUUGAAUCAUUUUUUUUUUUCUAAUUGUAAUAUAUUACUUGCAGGUGUUAAGUAGGACUUGACUCUAACCUUUCGUUUAAGUACUUUAAUCAAUGAACUAUUUAUUUCAUGAGUUGAAUUAUACUGUUGCUAGAUAGAUGAAUCACGUAGUUGUAAUUGUCAUUGUUGAUAAAGAAAAGAAAGGCUAGAAUGCAAUUUUGCCAAAAGGAUUUCUGCCGAAAUUAAAAAUUAAUCCAAUUUUAAUAAUGGGCGUAUAGUGCCUUAGUUAUUAGUAGUAUCUGAAUUGUUUUUCUUGAAUUAUAAACCAUUUUUAAUUAUUUUUUUUAAUUAUCAAAAAAUCUUUUUUUUAUUUCAUGCACGAUCAUUUUUGGAAUAAAAUUAUGAAAAUAACUAUCGUAACACCUAUUUAUGUGAUAAAUGUGCAAUAAAAAAUAAUUAAAAAAUUUCAGUAAUACAAACAGAUAAAUUUUUAUAAUAUACAAUUUAUGUUAGAAAUAGUAGAACCCUCAAUCAUGAACCUAUACCAUCCGCAAUUAUAUAAGCAAGCAAUACCUUUUUAUCUUUGCUUUACAGUGUAACAAUAAGCAAACAACCAUUCAUAAGAUUUUGUAAAAAAUUUUCAGAAAUAAUGGAUGAUCAAAAAAUCAAUGCAACAUCAUUCAUGACAAAAAACAAAGCAAAAGCAAAACAUACUUAAAAGGCAGAGGGGACUGACCUGGAAAAUUAAGCCGGCCGCAAGAAGGUUGAUUUUUGCUGGAGUCUCUGCACAUAAUAUCUUCCACUACUGCUCACAAAAGAAACAAAAUCAAUACAUUUACAAAAUCAACAGAGAAUCCAAAACAAAGAAGCAACUGAGAGAGAGGGUGAGGGAAUAAAAAAUAUGAGUUAAGAUAGUGGGAUAGUGGGAGUGAGCCACUGGCCAUUUGGUCCAGUGGUCAUCACCAUUAAAGGUGAUGCUGGAGGUCAGGGGUUCAAUCCCUGCCUCCCACAAAUUUGCCACAAUUUGUGGCGGUCUUAAUUGACCUUCAUCGAUGGAGUCUGUACUCACAUCGAACCCCUCCCCUUCCCCUUAGAUUAGGCUAGAUUAGGUUAUAAGACAUCUAUCGUUUCGAUAAAAAAAAAAGGAUAGUGGGAGUGAGAUAGUUGAAAUAUUGAUUGGUGAUAAGGUGAUAGUGAAAUUUUUUUUUUUUUUUUUGUCAAUACAGUGGGGUAUCCGGGAUUCACCCCGACUAAUUCCCACUGCACCCCAAGAGCCUCGAAGCGAUAGUGAGCAAGAUUCGACCACACGACCCAGGCCCCAACUGGGGUUGUCCCGAAACCAGCCGAUCUAUGCCCAGGGGGCGAGAUAGUGGGAAUAUUGAUUGGUGAUAAGGUGGGUUAUAACCCAUUACUUUUUUAUGUAUUAAAAUAAAUACAAAAAUCUAGAAAAAAGUAUGACAAGUUUAGAAGGUAUUGAGAGGGUUUCUACUAAAAAUCCCUUCCUGAAUACAUAUAGAUAUAGAUUCUUACUUGUGCUAUAUACACGGAUUUAUAUUUCAAUUCAAAACAAUAUUAAUAUAUAUAUUUUUAUAUAUUAUAAAAAAUUUAUAUUUCAAUUCAAAAACAAUAACAUAUACUUAUAUGUUAUAGUAUAGGAUAAAGCAUAUAAAAAAGGCAAAACAAUUCAAAGAAGUGUAUACUUAACAUGUUAAAAAAAGUUUAUUUCGUAAAUACAAAAUGAAUUUCUUAAUUCUAUUAUCUUAAAUAAGUUAAAACCAAAAUUUGUUUACCAGUUGUCUGUCAAUAUAUGAUAAUAAUUUGAGUAAAAUAAUUUAAUUUAUAAUGAUUUACAUGUUAGAGUAAUUGUAAACCUAUUUAUCAAUAUAUCAUAUUAUACUCAUAUAUCAAAAUUUUUAAUAUUAAAAAUAUAAAUUUUAACUAAUUCAUUUUCCUCAAUUUUAGAAAAUUUUUUCUCCCAUUUUGUAAUCUUAAAAUUGUUGAGUGCCUUUAAAAUAGUGUUCUUCAUAAACUUUAAUAUAAAUUAAAAAAAUCUUUGUAAGAUAUGUUUUCAAAGUUUUCAAAAUUAUUAAAAACUAUCACAUUUUUCCAUCCUCUCUGACUUGCUGAUUGAUUAUCUUUUGUUUUCUAUGACUUUCAGAUCUCUUGCCACAAAUACCAUCCUUCCUAUCAUGUCCCCAUAGUUCCCUUUUUUUUCUCUCCUCUUUUCAUCCAACUUUGUAUUAGUUUAUCUUCUUUUUUUGUCCUUUUCCACCACUCUUUAACUUCUUACUAUUCCUUUUUUCUACAUAUAGUUAGCCUCCAGCUUUCAAUCCUUGACACCCAAUAUUUCUCUAUUAUUUAUUCAAAAUAUAACUUAACAUAUGUUUAUAUUACACUAUGAUAAAGUGAAUUUGAUAGUAAAAACACUAAAUUUACUUAUUUUUCAUAUUAAUUUUGAAUUGAAUGAUUUCAAUUUUUCAAAGGAGAAAUGUUGUCAUUGAAUCUACAUUCAACCUCCAAAUUGUAAAAUUUGAAGCAAAAAAAAUUCCAUAACUUGCAAUUUGGUUUUACAAUUUUAAAAUACCCUUAUAUUUGUACUUUCAAAAUAAAUUUGAAAAGAUAAAUUUUGAAGCAGAAGAAAAUAGAAAAUCAUAACCUGCAAUUUGAUUUAAUAUUUUUACCAUAUAUUUAACUUUACCUCUCACAAUAUGAAAAGCAUAUAAAACUUAAGAUUGAUCACAAUGGUUGCAAGUGUUGACAUUUAAAAAUGCAAAUGAAAAACUAAUAAUAUCUUAUAAAACCCUAACUGCUACAAAAAAUAUAUAAAAAAGACAUAACAAUUGCAUAUUUACAUAUUCAAAAUUCUAUAUAAAAAAAAAGAAUAAGAAGUUAAAAGCAUUCUAAUUUAACUAUUUUAAAAAUCCUCUCUGCAAUACAUAUAGAUAUAGAUGCUCUGUAUGGAUUCCUCAUAUUUUGAAAAACAAGUUUUUCAUAUACAAUACUACAUUAAUAUAUAAAUAAAAAUAAUUUCAAAAACACCACAUCUAUACAAUAUAUCAAAAAUAACUCCAAAUAUAUAAAAAAUAAAAUCUACAUCAUUUUGUUCUUCCAUCUAUCAUCACUACCCACAACUGCUAUCAUCCCUUUCUUUCUCCUCUUCUCUCCCUCUCACUUCUUCAUCCCCUCCUCCCUUCCGCUUCCCUUCUCCUUUUCGGAGGGGGGAGGGGUGGAAGAGGAAAGGUGAGAAAUGGCAGAGAAAGGGGAAGGGACGAGGGGACGAAAAAAAGGGAGGAGGAAGAAGGAUGGGGAGAAGAAGGGAGAGAAUGGUAAUAGUGGUGGGUGGUGGUAGUAAUUUUUAAAAAAUACUAUAAAAAAUUUUAAACUUUAAAAAUACUCCAAAAUAUAUCUCAAAGGCAUCAUGAAAAGCAUCUACAAUAAAUUUUUUUUCAUAUACACAGUUACAGUAAAAUAUUUUAAAAAUACCCUCCAAAAACAGCUAAUCCAAACAAAGCAAUAAUAUUUUAGCAGUCAUCUCAAUUCUCAAUUCUCAUGUGUUUAACAUAGGUUUUCCUUGUCACUCAAAAACUACAUAAAGAAGAUCACCUGUGAUUUUUGUGUACUUGUACAGUGAACACCAGAGAAAUUAAUAGGAAAUUGAUCAUCAAUUAAGUAGUGUUUUUUUUUUUCUUUUUGUGGGUAUAUCUUUUUAAGUAGAGUACCAUUUGUCAAGUGUCGCAACUCACAAGCGAGGAUGAGUUCAAUGCUUAAACAAAAUUACUGCUUUCAUUUUCGACAUAUUACAUAUUUUUCAUUUAUUUGCGCAAAAGCAGAUUACUCCUUUUUUAUUUAUUUAUUUUCUCUUUAGUAUUCCUCUUUCCUGAUUAUCUACAAAAACCACUACAAUUUAAGCAUCAGCAAAAAGAUGAGAUCUUAUUAAGUAUUCUGCUACCAUUCAUGCUUGUAAACUUUUUACACUACAAACUAAGCUCAAUUUACAUAAAACAUAUUACACAGGCGAUCUGAAGCACGGAUUACUGGUCAAUCGAAACCUGCACAUAUCCCCGCCAUAACAGUUAUGCGAUCGAUUGAUGAUAAGGCCAAAUCAGGUGUCCUAGACGCUAAGGCUUCAGAUUUUAAAUGCUUAUUCACCACGAAAUAUAAUGCACAAAUCAGUUCAAUAUGAUUGUAGAAGGAAGGAAUUCUGCUGGCGUUCGUUCUUCGGGAAAAACACCUUCGCGGAGAACAAGUUUUACAGUGGAACGAGCAGUUAGGCUAUACUUCUCCUGAGCUUCUUCAAAUCCUUGGCCAAGAACGCGUUGGACCCAAUCCUCCACUUUCCUCUUGUCCCCUAAGCAUGCAGCUGCAACCAUCUGCAUCAUCACUCUGGAAUCAAUCUCCAGAGAACAUUCUGAGUGAACAACUUUCUGAAAGCACUCGCUUAUGUCCUCGAGUAUUUUCUGAGCAACUGCGUCAAAAUCAAAUGCCUUAAAAGCCACAACUGCAUCUACUUGUCCCAAGAAAUCUUCCAGCCAUGUUGUGGAGCUUUCUGGAAUUGAGUCACUGCCUGAGAUACCGUCGCAUAUUUCACCCUCUUCGGCAGGAACGUUCAAAUCUAAAUGCUGUGUAUUUGAAGCCCUAUGGGCUCUCUUUGCCAUCUCCAAACUGCCCUGUCGUUCUACAAAGCCUGUAUUACCAAUAAGCUUUCUUUUGUUCAUGAAGAUCCGGUUAGAACUGCCUUUACUGGUUCUAUCCAACAUAUCUGUGUUGUGGCUCGUCUCAUAGUCACCAAGAUCAAAUCCUAUCAACAUUUGGAUAGGCAAUCCCUUCAUUUUUGACAUGUCUUCCUCAAAAUAGCCAGCUUUUCCAGCAUUUAUGGUUUUAUCACCAUCUGCAGACUCUGAGGUUGUCAAAAAUAUGGCAUUGCCAAUGCCAAAUUCUCUUCCAUGCGAGUCUGAGAACCUACCAGUUUUCAGGGCUUUGGACAAGCUACUUUGAACAAGCAAAUCAGCUUUGUCAACAUUUUCAAGUAGCAAAACAGAAAAAGGUUUCUUGAAUAGUUUCCCAGCAAUAUAAUCAACAACGUUUUUUCCACGGUAAACAUCAGUAAGAUCACUCCACACCUGUAGAUCAAUGGUAGCAUUUGCAUGGAUCAUCUCAUCUGGGAAACUUAGGUCCACAUGGAUUAGGUGUUCUCUGCUUCCAUGCAAUAUUUCAGAGAGCGCAAUGGCAAGUUCCUUCUGGGCUAACCUAUCUGGUCCAACAAAAUUAAGCCAUAUAUCUCCACAGUUUUCCCUGUGGUGCCGUUCAGUGGUUGCUUUGCAACAAGCAAUUGUGUGGCUAAUAAUUUUUAGAGCUUCUUCUUGCCUACCAAUCCUUUUGGCUAGAGCUGUAUAGAGAUCCUGAUAAUCUACUCCAUCAAGUUGGCCAGUGGUAUCAGGAUGGGAGCAAGAUGAAGAUCUAGUGUUGUUGCUCCAGAUAUUUCUGCUCUCAGGAUUUGCAGACAAGGAGGAGGAGCAAUUCUGCACUAUAUCCACGCAACCACUAUUUGUAGGUUUCUCCAGUUCUGUGCUUGCAGAAGAGCUGCUGAUCCCCAAAUUCAGAUCUACAGUUAAUGAAGUAACAGAGGCUGGAGAAGCGAGGCCGUCUUGAGCAGUACAACUGGUAGAACUGAAAGGAGGACUGUGACCAUUGUCCUCUAUCACUUUUGAGGCGCUUUCACUUGCACUAUAUUUGGAUAGAAAGUUCACAUUUGUUGGACUGCUUAGCUUUGUUGUAGAAAAAUGCUGUACAUCCGUUGACAUGAAUGAAGCUAUAUUCUUACUAUCACUUUGAGUUGAAGAUGUACUUGCAGGGCUGCUGGGGUCAUCUUUGGCAGUCGUUUUCCCAUCUUCAGGAAUUUGAUACCCAAAGACAGACGUAAAUUGAGUUCCCAAUUGACAACUACUUGCCUUAGGAGAUGGUUGGCUACACUGAAGAGGCUGAAACAUAUUGUCUGAAUUCCUGUGCGGUCCUGCAAUUUUAGUACUCGAUAACACUCUAUCAUCUUUGGCCUGCACUGAAGAUAUGGAGACUGGUUUUCAAAUGAACAAAACUUGUGCAGUGCUAGGACUUACUAAGCAGAUUCUAGGAAUUGGGUGUGAGAAGACCUUAACUUGCUGGUAUUAAAAUUUAAAAGCUAUUAUAAUCACUGAUGAAGGACAAUAUUCUCAAGUAAUCCCAUGUUAUGCUAGGACUUAGCAGCAGAUUCCGGAAUUAGGUGUGAGAAGACAUUAGAUAGCUGGUAUUAAAAGAUAGAAGCUAUUAUAAUCACUGAUUAACGAAAUCUUCUCAAAUAAUCAUUAAAUUGUGCUUUCUUUUGCCAUUAGGUGGAUUAUGACUAUUCCUGCGCUCUGGAGGAAUAGGCAUUCACUCAGUGGAUAAACCGCACCGUUAACUGUUUAUUUGCUCCACUUUCAUCCUAGACCAUUAACCUUCAAAUAAACAAGAUCCAGUAACAGUGCUCACCUUCACAACGUCCAAGCCACUGUGUGUGGUGAAAUCAGUCAUCCGCAACCAAGAAGGUUUAUUGGAUGGACAAUGUUCUGCAACUGAAGUUGUGACCCCUCCAUUUGAAAGAACAUUAACGUCUUCAUCACACUUCUCAUUGCAGAGGUGGCAGCACGAUGCACCAUGGUCCAAGCUACGUAAUGAGACGUUCAUCUCAGAAGGUGAAGAAAAGAGACCACCAAACGGAACAAAAGACUCCAUCAAGCUGAAAGGAUAUUGCAAGUAUACAAUGUGAGAAUCAUUAGCUUAUUGCUGUCAGUAUUUGAAUUGGAGGAGCAGACUGAGAUAAAAUUCGUCACUAGCUUGGAAAUUAAAAAUAGAAAGUGACCUCGCUAUGAAACUUGAUAUUUAGACAUGUCUUAACUAAAAAACUCCAUGACUAGUAGUAAAGCAAAGUAAAUUUUCCAUGUUUCAAAACCAGUUUAAAAAAAAAAAAGAAAGAAAUGUUGAUCAAUUACUGUGCAGUAAACGAAGGAGACCUAUCUCAGCCAGAAACUGCUGUGUCAAGCUUGAGUUUCCGAAUUGAGCAGAAGUACAGUUUUACAACUAAGUACAACUCAGUGCAUCAAGAAAAAAAAGCUUUGCACAAUGUUUUUUGGAUGCACUUCAGUGAUAGACGCUAUACAGUGGAGAUCCACAAGACAGGUCCAGUCACCAGAAAUUUAAGGGAAAAUGAUCCCAGUUAAUGAACAGUACGACAACCCGGAUGGCAAAGUAGAGUUUACGUGCAGAAUUUGACUGACUGAAUACGUUUCUCAAACAAGUAGGUAGUAUCACUUGUGGAACAUCAGCUGGUCAUCAAAGAGACAGCGUCUAUGUUUUAGGUAGGCACAAACUUUCUCAAUUCACAUUGCAAUAGAACGGAAAGUCAACAUGGCAAGAAAUGAACGAAGGGAAAAGAGAAAAUCGAGUAUUGAUCCAUAAUUUCAAGUCUCAUAUAUAUUUCAAGAGGAUGGACAGUAUUUAUGUAGGAUAAAGUAGCAAUCCUCGUCUGUCACUCGUGUACUUGUCGGAAGCUACAUCCAUAUGCAGAAAACGAGUUUAACUACGAUAUAUAUAUAUAAAGAAAGUUAUGCAGAAUAUAAUAAAUAAUAAUCCUGUUCAAUUUAAAAAUUGCAAAAAACACCUCAAACAUUAAUAACUAGAAGCGAAAAAAGUUAAACGAUCACAAAGACGCCAAACGUGCUGCUUACCUGGAUCUUGGGCAUGACUCUGCCGCAGACAGUCUCAGAGUAGUAAUAGGCAAAAGCUGCAGGCCCAAAUCCUUGUCAACGCAGGGAAACAUAUUCAAAAGCUUCGAAUACGUCUCGUACCUCGCAGCCGCUCCAAUCAACCAUACUUUGUCUCCAUGAAUCUCCACCAGCCUCGUCAAUUCGCUAAUCACAAGCCUCAGAACAUCAACUGGCGCGUCCUCCUUAGCCAUUGCCCUUAAAUCACCAAAAUUCACCACCACCCCUGCUCCGACACAAUUUUCCACCAUUUUAUCAACCUCCCGAAACCUCAACUUCAAAAAACUCUCUUCACACGUGCCACUGACGAACCUCAAAAUCUCAUUCUCCAGACAAACUACGCCCACACCAAAUAGCUCCAGUGGAAGAAUACCUGAGCCCCGCCUCCUCUGCAGCGUUUCGAAGAAAGUCCUCAAAGCGUCAUAAGCACAUGCGCCAACAAGCAGAGGAUUCCUCCUCCCUUUGAUAUUAUCCCUCGGUACCAUAACUUCCGCAAUUCUCCUAACACAGUUCUCCUCUCCAUCUAAAACCCCAGAAAAACCCACAAACGGAAAGCUAAAAGCUCGACUCCCCAGCUCAUCAUCGCCGCCGCCUAAAUUACACAAAAACACGGGUGGCCCUUUGUAUUUGGGGUAUCGAAACAUCUGACGAUGAAGUGGCCUGAGUAUAGCUAGUUUAAUCUCGCAACUCCUGAACCCCGACUCCCCGAAGACUCUACUCACUACUGGGUCGUCAAGAAUGGACAGAAUCAGGUUCCGAAGCUCAACUUUCACUACAGUGAUGGAGGACGGAGAAGAAGACAACUGGUUUUGCUGCUGAUGAGGGUGAUAAAGAUGGAAAUUCUCAGGCUGCCUUCUCUGGUUAGCCUGAGACCUCUUAAUAGCGGCCAUGAGAGAGUUGGAAAUGGGAGGCUCCUGGACGGGGUUGGGGGUGGAAGGCAGGCGGUCCAAGGAAACGCCAAGGCAGAGCUCCAAAGCCUUGAAUUGAACGCGAGUGGAAUAGGCGUUGUUCCGGGUACGAGAACAAGCCUCCCGCAGAGCCGAGGAGGGACGUGAAAGGAGAGACGAGACAAGGUGGAGAGAGGUGGUUUGGGCGUGGCCACGGCGACGUGCCACGGCCACCGCCUCGUCCAGAGCUUGCUCCGCUUCUUCUGUGAAGCAUUGCCUGGCCGUGUCCACCGGCGUCGGCAUUAGCCUAAUAAGCAACAACACUAAUUAAUUAAAUACUAUUAAUUACUACUAACGUCGGCCCCCAGAGUAACUGAAAAAAGGUUGGGGAAAUGUUUUUUUUUUUUUUUUGGUUAAGAAACUUUAAAAUUUUGGUCGGAUGGAUCAUACCACUGCUUGCUUAUUAGUCUAAUAAAUAUACAAAGUACUGACUACUUUAUGAUAAUACAGAAUACUAACUACUCUAUGCCAAAUACAGAGUACAUCUUCUUUUUUUUUUUUUUUUUAAGUACUAUGUGGGUAUAUAAGAAUCGAGAGGAUUGGAUUGAGGGGGACUCCUUGAAUUAUUUAUAAAAACUUGGGGGUUGUGUGCUUGUGUUGAAAGGGUGGACAAUGUUUUGCAGGUGGAGAUACUGCUCUCUGCUCUCUGCUCUGUGCUGACUAGUGCAGUGACUGCUGCUGCUGCUGAGUGGGGGCUGUGAUGGUGGUGGGGGCUGUGAUUGUGCUUUCGUGUGUGUGGUCUCUUAGAUGGGGGCCUGGCCUAGAGGCUAGUACUACACUAAUUGUAGUUGUAGUAGAGCCCUCGGAGCAACAUUAUUUAGGAAAAGGCUAUGCAAAAAGCGAUUGGAUUUUGACAUUUUUGUUCUCGAAUCUCAGUUCUGGUGCUUGUAAUCCUCCUGCACACCCACUUUUUCUGUAGGGAUCAGUGAAAAAACAGAAACCCGCAUUUUAAAACUGAUCUUGUUGCGGGUGCAAUUACAAAAUCUCACGUAUGUUAUGUCUUUUGAGUUCCAACUACGUAUACUUCUUGAUAGUGUAUUGCUUAUCACAAACUACAAGCUGACCCUUUGUAGGGGUUGCUUCAUGAUUUUGAGAUUAACUAAAAUUUCAAUAUAUAUUUCGCCUGCGCCUGCGCCUGACUUCUAAUUCUUGAAACAACUUUAACCAUUGUACGUACUGCUUUUUGAACGUCUGUCAAGUGUCGAUAUAUAUGCAUUACAAUGCGGGAAUUGAUUUGAUCCCUGCUACUUCUCCGUCCAUAUUCGGCCAUUUUUUUUUAUUUUUUUAUCGUUAAAGGAUUCCUAAACUUGCGAUUCUCUUGUUGAUGAAUGAUAAUAACAACAUGCUUGCCAAGCUCGAUGUUGAAUAACUCGUCCCAAAGCAUUAUUACGUACGCAGCUCCUUCCUUAAUUAUUCCUUCAAGUUCGUUUUCAAUUGUUUAAGUCGGUAAAAUUUACUUACUGUUUGUCUUAUAUAGUACUAUAAAAAAGAAGCAGGUACUUGCUAAGAACACUUUUUAUUGUGAAAAAAAAAGAAAAACCACUUCCAGUUAUUGCGCAUAAUAAUAGAGUACUGUAAUCACAAGUACCAUAUUUUCAGCUUUUGUGGGGAUCCAUAAUGCUCUCUUCCCAGUAGUCUCCAAAUUUCCCUGAGUUGAUGGAUGAAUGAAUCAUGAAAGAAAGGUUGAAACAGAGUGAAGAGGUGUAAGAAGAAGGACAAGGAAAGGGAAGGAAAUGGGCACUGAGGACUGGGGAGGGGAGAGAACAGAGAGAGAUGCCAAGUCCACUUACCUGGGAGAGAGGUGGGGGCCAUUUCUUCCCUUUGACGUCACUUUCUUCUUUCUUGUCGAAACGGGUCCGUCUAUUAUUUGGAACACGAGCGGGUACUACUACUGCUACUGCUAGUUGAGAAUUGAGAAUUGAGAAUUGAGAUUGAUGAUGCAUUCAUGUCAUUCGAUCGCUGAGUUGACUCACUGGGUCACCCUUCUUGUUUCACCUUUAUUCUCCUUAUUUUACCCCAUGCGCUACACGACAAAAUCUCGACACUUCAGCUAAGCCUACUGGGAGUCUAGUGGAGUUAAAGCGUCGUCCCAGUUCCCAUGCACUCGGACUUGGCUCCUCUCUCUAUAUUUUACGCAUAUCACGUUACCAUAACUACAGAGUAUUUCUACGAAAUAAUCUACAGUUCAAACUGGCUCUCAAACGUUCAACUACACGUCUUUCUUUGGUUUUGUCGGUCUUUCACAUGAUGGUAUAGCGCCAAUCCAUUGACAAAUAGACGAUGAUAGAGCGUCGCUGUCUAAGCUAAUACGUCCAUCAUCAGGAAAUGAUCCUCGUGAAUGAAUCAGCUACAUCAGUCUUUGCUAUUCUAAGUUUCGCUGUUUAACAAGUCCUGUAUUUCCUUGAAUAUGAUAUGGCAUUCUGGAUGCGCUACUGCUGCUGCCGCCCAAAGAUCUUCUUGUGGGUCUUUAUUCUCUGAUCUCUCGUCUGAAGGGCUGCGGGCGGUAACUUCUUGAAGAAAGGUUGAACUGAGUCCAUGAUCAAGGGACGUUCCUCGAAUUAGGUGAUCGAUUCGCGUGAACUCGUGACUCAAUGCAUGACGCGGACUUUCCACUUUCCAGUCACUGUGCAUUUAAGAGGUCCCUUCAAAUUGUAAAGGUUGAAUGCGACGGGGGUGGAACUAAGUGAGUGAAUCAGGCGUCCAACUCCGGAGCCGCACCACACACGUAUCAUUCAUCAUCAUCACUUGCGAUUGUGAAAAGCUGAAACCUUUUUCCUUUUUCCUUUUUUUUUUAAAUUUUUUUUCAGAGUUUAGAUGCGUCAUCCCAUGGUACCGGAGGACUAUUAUCUUAGGCGAUCCCUCCCUUACUCAACAAGCAUUCUGUUCCGCAAGUGAUCUUACACUUUGUUUGGAUAGGACAGAGUAUUAUUUGAAAUGCAGUAUUCUUUAAAAUAAUUAUUAUAAUAUUUUUUAUGAUGUGUUGUGUAUGAGAUUAAAAAGUAUUAAUUAAAAAUAUAAAAAAUAUAAUUAAAAAACGUAUUUAUAAUGCAAGUAAAAUGACAUUUGAAAAAAGUUUUGAUAUUCAAACAUAUCGAGUUGGACAAUUUGUAUAAGUAUGUAAUUAAACCCCUCUUGACUCUUGACGCAUACACCAUAUAAUCCAACAAAUUUUUAUGUACAGACACAAUAAAAACAUUCUGCAUUAAUUGCCAGUACAUUUUUUUUUAUAAUUUCUUGAAAUAACAAUUUAAUUAUACAAUUGGAGUGUUUAAACAGUGGAUUAAUUGUCACUUUUUUUUUAAUUACAUCAUUAACAUAUUUUCUAAUCACUUUUUAUCUUAUAUAUAUAUCAUAUUAAAAUAUGUCAUAAUAUUUUUUUAAAAAAUAAUUAUCUCAAAUAACCUACUAUAUCCACGUGUGCUCGCUAGUGCCAAGAGGCGGAGAGCGAGAACUAUUUACCCUAGCAAAAAAAAAAGGCAUUGGAUUUGACGUGUCGGUUUGGUUUCCACAAUCUCUUUCUGUUCACUUUUGUAUUCCUCUCAGCUGCUUUUUCAGUUUUCACUCUUCGUACCAAGCAGUUAAAUCCCACUCUCUCUUUGUCCUCACGAUGGGCAAACCAAGAUGGAAUUUCCGAUACUAUUGGAAGAGCGAUGAUUAUGAAGCCCCUCUGGAAAAACGUUGACUUGAAGAGAUAUACAAUAAAUUGGUUUCCACCACUCGUAUCUCGACACUUCUCCCCUCGCAACAGAUUCUUGAUCAAAGUCUCUUUCAGCUGUGAUGAUGAUCAUUCUCCUAUUGCUGUCAAUUAUGCGUUUCAUUCAAACAGACAACGACAACGCGCUUAAGUUUUAGGUUUUAACAUCGACAGCAGUACCACAAAAGCUGAACCCAUUCGGGUUUGUGCUUUUGUACCACAGCCUAACGUGACGAAGAAAAUUCAUGUUUACCAGCGUGGCGUGGUAUAAUUUCGAAAUUGUAGCAAAUUGAGACGUUUAAAAUGUUUCCUUAGCCUCUGCUAACCUAAGGGGAUUUUGAUUUUUUUUUUUUUUUUUGCGGAGCUCUUGCAAAAUUUGUGAGGUAGCAAGUUUACACGAGUAAUAUAUUCCUUUUUGUGAUGGGAAAAUUUUUUGUUUGAAUUUUAGUUUCUUUAUUUGCAUAAUCAUCGAUAUAUUUUUUAACCGUAUUUUUAUCUCACAUAUAUCGCAUAAAAAUAUUCAAAAAGAUGUUACAGUAUUUUUUUUUCAAAAAAUUAUUCCAAAUAAUCUUCUAACCAAACACAGUAAGUAAGGUGAAUGGCAAUAAUUCAGGUGAAGACUUGACCAAAAUUUUUAAAAUUUUCUCUUCGAGUGUUAGUAGUGAUUAAAAAUAAUGAACAAUCGAGAAGACCAUCUCCCUAACUGUGAAUUCUUGAACGCCCGAUAAGGAGUUGUUUCACAUCACUUUCUCAUGGCCUCUCAAAUCCCCCAGAGGCAGGCAUGUAGAGCCCAAACAAGAAGAAUCUUCAAGUGGAAGAUCUCUUUGGGUUUAGAUUCUCUCUCACGUGUCACAACAACGAAGAGGAAGAAAAGCACCCACCACCACUGAAUGCUGGAAUUAGAAGAGGGAUAAUUUUCGAUGACUCCUCCAAGGUUUCUAAUAGUUUUACUUGCCUCCUCUCAACUUUUGAAAACCUCACACGCCUCCCGACAAAAAUAUUAUAUUAAGUAUAUAAAUUUAUAAGCUUAAAUUAAUGAGUUUUGUAUAUAGUGUAGGAGUUGACUAGGUAUAAUUAAUUAUGAAAUUUUAAGUGGAGAAUGGAACUGAUCAUCAGAAAUACAACAAAUAGGACUCUUAUAUUAGAAUAGGUCAUUCUCUUUUUCUUCUUCUCUUUUAAGAGUUUGGUCAUUCUUUGUAACCGCUGAAUUAAAUUUAAAACAUUAAGAAGAUUUUAAACUAAUAAGUAUGAGCGAUUUCCAGAAGAUUUAAUUAUUGAAUGAAUUUUAAACUUAUCUACUAAACAAAAAUAAAAUGUGAAUAAAGUCAGAGAACUUUUUGUAGCCUAUGUGUUAAUGAUGGUCAAUAGAUAGGGAUGUUACAAGUUUUUUAUUAAAAAUUUGGAAAUUGGUAUUGUUAUAUAUAAAGGUGAGUGAGUGUGAAAUAUAGUUUAGGAAAGAAAGAAAAUUUCAAGAUAAGAGGCAAAUAGCUCUAAUCUUGUGAAACUGUGUAGCAGCAUCAAACAGAGAAUCAUUUUUGCUUGUUUAAUAAUUCCUUUUUUAUAAAGUUGUACAUACAGGAUUUGUCUUUGAAGGUGAGAAAUUGUCUAGUUAAUAUCACCAAAGACUAAAAUAUAAUAGUUAUUAUGUCGCACCUCAUGUCAUCAAUGGGUCGUCACUCGGGCCUCUCCUCUCCUCUCCACUCCACUCCACAUCCAAGCUCCAGGAGCGAGAAGAACUUGAACAGCUUAAAUAGUACUAAUGGCUAAUAUUGCUCAAAUGCCCAUAGCCACUAGAAUUUACAAGGCCGUCCACCAAGCCUGUACGCUAACACACGAAGGAUACAAACUGCUGUAAGCCAGGAAAGUGGGGAAGGGGAGGGUGGAAUGGAUUGCAAGGGGGAAGGAAUUGUGAUUAGGAGAUUUUGAGUUCAAGAUCUCCCACUUACCCAAAAAAAAAAAGCCAGGAAAGUGCGGUCAAUAUAUGAUAAACAGAUACCACCAGAAGAGGAACUUUCCCUAUUUGGCCUACAUCUGAUGCCAAAUUUUACUCUCACAAACACCAGUGGUCGAUACACCACUGUCUUCUUGUCACGAGAGAAUCAAAAUGUUUUACUGAAACCCUAAUUGAAAUACCGAUGCAAGAUUAUGAUAAUUUUUUAAUGACAUAAAAUUGGUUUUAGGUUCCGACUGAACCUAGUUCAACCAAGGUUUAACCACUAAUUUAUAACUAUUACAAAUGCACCGAUAUUAAAGGGGAUCUUGCAAAAGGGGGCGCUAUAUAUUCCUUCUGAAGUUUGAAACAUGAGACACGGGGCAUCUUAGACAUUCCCUAGCGUGUAAGGAACUAAUGCAGUAAUCUGACAUUUCCGAUUUAACCAUUACAUCAAAGGUUAGGUCACCAACAGAACAUCAAUUAAAUAAACCAACAGAACAGCUCCUUUUGCAAUAUUCUCUUCAGUUCGAAGAUCAACAAAAAAGACAACCAAACUACUUUGACAAGCAUUGAAGAAGACCUUAACUUCAUCCGCCUUCAGCCUUGAACUUCCCAGUCUAGGUUGGACAAAAAGGAAUACCAGACCAGUCAAAUAUGAACGGAUCUGCCGCAGAUUUUCAUGGGAUAGGUAGAAAU
This 35735-nucleotide long non-coding RNA is filed under the name Coffea arabica (coffee). RNAcentral's name for it is "long non-coding RNA (CARA_LNC000903)". Lineage: Eukaryota; Viridiplantae; Streptophyta; Magnoliopsida; Gentianales; Rubiaceae. The record is from RNAcentral.